GCCAGGCGUGGUGGCUCACGCCUGUAAUCCCAGCACUUUGGGAGGCUGAGGCGGGUGGAUCACCUGAGGUCGGGAGUUCGAGACCAGCCUGACCAACAUGGAGAAACCCUGUCUCUA
Molecule: non-coding RNA, 117 nt
Filed under: Pan paniscus (pygmy chimpanzee)
Lineage: Eukaryota; Metazoa; Chordata; Mammalia; Primates; Hominidae
Also listed under: 1 other name
Source: Rfam by way of RNAcentral